AAACCGCGAGGUGGAGCAAAACUUCAAAAAUGGUCUCAGUUCGGACUGUAGGCUGCAACUCGCCUACACGAAGUUGGAAUUGCUAGUAAUCGUGGAUCAGCAUGCCACGGUGAAUACGUUCCCGGGUCUUGUACACACCGCCCGUCACACCAUGGGAGUCGGUAACACCCGAAGUCAGUAGUCUAACCGCAAGGAGGACGCUGCCGAAGGUGGGAUUGACGACUGGGGUGAAGUCGUAACAAGGUACC
RNAcentral lists this ribosomal RNA (248 nucleotides) under uncultured bacterium. RNAcentral's name for it is "partial 16S ribosomal RNA". It matches the Rfam family "Bacterial small subunit ribosomal RNA", at positions 1252 to 1500 of the family's 1533-position model. The record is from RNAcentral.